This 200-nucleotide long non-coding RNA is filed under the name Elaeis guineensis (African oil palm). Its description in RNAcentral is "long non-coding RNA (EGUI_LNC006761)". The record is from RNAcentral. Lineage: Eukaryota; Viridiplantae; Streptophyta; Magnoliopsida; Arecales; Arecaceae.
CCGUUUUUUAGCUCUGUAUGUAUCAGAUUUUGAGUGGCAUGAUCGAUUGAUGAUGCGGCGGAUCUGGUUCAAUCAAUAACCCUUCGAAAAGCAGAGCAUCCCGUGGGAGCCAGCUCACACAGGGAGAUGUCGACCUCUCACCAAACUGCCGCAGCCACUGGCUAGGGCUACUACCUCGCACUCUCCCUCUUAUAAACCCC